This 432-nucleotide ribosomal RNA is filed under the name uncultured bacterium. Its description in RNAcentral is "partial 16S ribosomal RNA". It matches the Rfam family "Bacterial small subunit ribosomal RNA", at positions 29 to 506 of the family's 1533-position model. The record is from RNAcentral.
AACGAACGCUGGCGGCAUGCCUAACACAUGCAAGUCGAACGAGACCUUCGGGUCUAGUGGCGCACGGGUGCGUAACGCGUGGGAACCUGCCCUUAGGUUCAGAAUAACUCCCCGAAAGGGGUGCUAAUACCGGAUAAUGUCUUCGGACCAAAGAUUUAUCGCCUUUGGAUGGGCCCGCGUUGGAUUAGCUAGUUGGUAGGGUAAAAGCCUACCAAGGCGACGAUCCAUAGCUGGUCUGAGAGGAUGAUCAGCCACACUGGGACUGAGACACGGCCCAGACUCCUACGGGAGGCAGCAGUGGGGAAUAUUGGACAAUGGGCGAAAGCCUGAUCCAGCAAUGCCGCGUGAGUGAUGAAGGCCUUAGGGUUGUAAAGCUCUUUUACCCGGGAUGAUAAUGACAGUACCGGGAGAAUAAACUCCGGCUAACUCCGU